GGGGCCGUCAUGGUUUUGACGGAGAAGAUCCAAAUAGCGGUUGCAGUGGCCUGGUAAACCGAAAGACCAAACAACAAUACCUGACAACACUGUCAAACCUUGGAUGCUCAACAAUCGUGCAUCCGCUCUCGCUCGCGCCUAAUUAGAGCACCCGAAAUAGGGUUCCCGCCACGUCGGGACGAACGCAUCGCCCUUCCAGCGCGCUAAUGGAAGGUUCCGGUGUAACAUCUAGCGCUAAGUCAGGCCGCGUGGUUAUCGCGGUUUGAUCGAAAACCUCUAACCCCACUCAGGAGACUAGGCAAUAUGGUUGCUCCUGAGCCAGAGACGAAUUUGCCUAAACUGUAGGCGCCGUUAGGGGGACUUCUUCGGACCCGGGUUCGACUCCCGGCGACUCCACCA
This 399-nucleotide transfer-messenger RNA is filed under the name bovine gut metagenome. It matches the Rfam family "transfer-messenger RNA". Rfam says of the family: Bacterial tmRNA, also known as 10Sa RNA or SsrA, is named for its dual tRNA and mRNA-like properties. Its role is to liberate the mRNA from a stalled ribosome. The record is from RNAcentral.